RNAcentral lists this ribosomal RNA (328 nucleotides) under Salmonella enterica subsp. enterica serovar Agona str. SA-3. Its description in RNAcentral is "bacterial SSU rRNA". It matches the Rfam family "Bacterial small subunit ribosomal RNA", at positions 1218 to 1533 of the family's 1533-position model. Lineage: Bacteria; Pseudomonadati; Pseudomonadota; Gammaproteobacteria; Enterobacterales; Enterobacteriaceae. The record is from RNAcentral.
ACACGUGCUACAAUGGCGCAUACAAAGAGAAGCGACCUCGCGAGAGCAAGCGGACCUCAUAAAGUGCGUCGUAGUCCGGAUUGGAGUCUGCAACUCGACUCCAUGAAGUCGGAAUCGCUAGUAAUCGUGGAUCAGAAUGCCACGGUGAAUACGUUCCCGGGCCUUGUACACACCGCCCGUCACACCAUGGGAGUGGGUUGCAAAAGAAGUAGGUAGCUUAACCUUCGGGAGGGCGCUUACCACUUUGUGAUUCAUGACUGGGGUGAAGUCGUAACAAGGUAACCGUAGGGGAACCUGCGGUUGGAUCACCUCCUUACCUGAAAGAAGC